ACCAGGCUUCCAUCCAGCCUUCGAGCUUUGAUUUUAGUGGAUGUCCAGUCAGCGAUAGAUUGGUCACCCUUUUCCAACUUGGAGAAUUUGUCAGAGCUGUGUAUUGGUGGAUAUUCGCUCACAGAGCUGACCAUUCCGCCUUGUCUGAAGGAGAUCCGGUGUUUGACCCUGCAACAAUUGCCUCAGCUUGCUGAGAUUCAGGAUUUGGGAGAACUGGAAUCAUUGCAGCUGUUGCGUGUCCAGUCCUGCGAUUCCAUCAAAAGCUUAGAUCUGUCUAAUUUAAGAAAUAUGAAACGAUUGGAACUCUGUUAUUGUGAAUCACUGGAGCGCGUGUUGGCUGUGCCAGAAUCUUGUGAACUCAUCCUAGGGAGCUGCCCAAGGUUCAACAAAGAUGGAUAAGUAUUCUGGACUUACUUGAUGCAGCACUUCCGAGACCUGAUAGGCUUGAAGACUUCUGUUGUGUCGUGUUUCUUCUAACAUGAGAGGCUGGAUAUCGUUAAAGUUGAUACAAGAAAGGUUGUUCAAGCUCUGCUUCCAGAUGCACGGCUGCAAGCGGAGAGAGUGAUCAGCAUGGGAAAGAGCCAGUUAUAACACUCUCUUCUCAAGUUCGUCGCUUCAAAGGCGAGCACGUCAAUCUCAGAUGCUG
Molecule: long non-coding RNA, 646 nt
Organism: Rhodamnia argentea
Lineage: Eukaryota; Viridiplantae; Streptophyta; Magnoliopsida; Myrtales; Myrtaceae
Exons: 4
Source: RefSeq, a predicted model, not a curated record